GCACCAUUAGCUCAAUUGGUAGAGCACCUGACUCUUAAUCAGGGUGUCCCCGGUUCGAACCCGUGAUGGUGCACCA
Molecule: transfer RNA, 76 nt
Filed under: Clostridium sp. DSM 8431
Lineage: Bacteria; Bacillati; Bacillota; Clostridia; Eubacteriales; Clostridiaceae
Description: tRNA_Lys_CTT
Rfam family: tRNA
About the family: Transfer RNA (tRNA) molecules are approximately 80 nucleotides in length. Their secondary structure includes four short double-helical elements and three loops (D, anti-codon, and T loops).
Source: RNAcentral